RNAcentral lists this ribosomal RNA (324 nucleotides) under Triticum aestivum (bread wheat). RNAcentral's name for it is "partial small subunit ribosomal RNA". The record is from RNAcentral. Lineage: Eukaryota; Viridiplantae; Streptophyta; Magnoliopsida; Poales; Poaceae.
UGGAGACCACCUCCUAUGGGUUUUGUGAAAAUCAAUGUCGAUGGUGCAUUAUCAAGAUCAAGCUCAGAGGGCUCCUCUUCGACAAUAUGCAGAAACUCAGAAGGAAGGUACCUGGGCGCCUCGGCUUUGAAACUCGCGGGAUUAAAGGACCCAACUAUCCUUGAAACUCCAGUGUGUCGAGAGGCUCUCUCUCUAGCGCUCGACCUCAACCUCACCAAGGUAGUUGUGCCUUCUUACCAUAAAGGAGUGGUCGACGACUUCAACAACGGCAUGGGUGGAUUACAUGGUAAAAUAGUUAAAACAAAUUAUCUCUAUUGCAGCUAA